RNAcentral lists this ribosomal RNA (253 nucleotides) under uncultured bacterium. Its description in RNAcentral is "partial 16S ribosomal RNA". It matches the Rfam family "Bacterial small subunit ribosomal RNA", at positions 524 to 776 of the family's 1533-position model. The record is from RNAcentral.
UACGUAGGGUGCGAGCGUUGUCCGGAAUUACUGGGCGUAAAGGGCGCGUAGGCGGCCUGCUAAGUCGAACGUGAAAUCCCCGGGCUCAACCCGGGAACUGCGUCCGAUACUGGUGGGCUUGAAUCCGGGAGAGGGAUGUGGAAUUCCAGGUGUAGCGGUGAAAUGCGUAGAUAUCUGGAGGAACACCGGUGGCGAAGGCGGCAUCCUGGACCGGUAUUGACGCUGAGGCGCGAAAGCCAGGGGAGCAAACGGG